Paramuricea clavata is the source of this 342-nucleotide non-coding RNA. The record is from the annotation of a GenBank genome assembly. NCBI's taxonomy places the organism in Eukaryota, Metazoa, Cnidaria, Anthozoa, Malacalcyonacea, Plexauridae.
CUUUCUGAUGAUGCAAGUCAUAUUUGUUGUAAUUGAAUACAAAAUUUCACAUGUUUUGGCUAUAAUAGAAUUCAAUAGAAGAAAAUCACUAAUCACCCGUUUUCAGGAGUUAGCAGCAAAAUAGCGAUGGCCCCACUUCAAAUAUCUAUUAAGCAAAUAAAACUACAUCAAUUGUAAAAGUUUGAUGCUUUUAACCUCAACGGGAACUACUGAUCAAUAAUUUUACACAUAUCCGCCUCACUAUUUUGAAAUAGUGCAAUGAAUCGUUAUAUCUCAAGGUUAAUCUGACAUUCAAUUUUUCAUGCUCAGUAGCCUGAGAUUGAACUGACGCCUUAAACACAU